GAUGAACGCUGGCGGCGUGCCUAAUACAUGCAAGUCGAGCGAACAGACGAGGAGCUUGCUCCUCUGACGUUAGCGGCGGACGGGUGAGUAACACGUGGAUAACCUACCUAUAAGACUGGGAUAACUUCGGGAAACCGGAGCUAAUACCGGAUAAUAUAUUGAACCGCAUGGUUCAAUAGUGAAAGACGGUUUUGCUGUCACUUAUAGAUGGAUCCGCGCCGCAUUAGCUAGUUGGUAAGGUAACGGCUUACCAAGGCAACGAUGCGUAGCCGACCUGAGAGGGUGAUCGGCCACACAGGAACUGAGACACGGUCCAGACUCCUACGGGAGGCAGCAGUAGGGAAUCUUCCGCAAUGGGCGAAAGCCUGACGGAGCAACGCCGCGUGAGUGAUGAAGGUCUUCGGAUCGUAAAACUCUGUUAUUAGGGAAGAACAAAUGUGUAAGUAACUAUGCACGUCUUGACGGUACCUAAUCAGAAAGCCACGGCUAACUACGU
This 496-nucleotide ribosomal RNA is filed under the name uncultured bacterium. Its description in RNAcentral is "partial 16S ribosomal RNA". It matches the Rfam family "Bacterial small subunit ribosomal RNA", at positions 28 to 506 of the family's 1533-position model. The record is from RNAcentral.